This 120-nucleotide ribosomal RNA is filed under the name Adineta vaga. The record is from RNAcentral. Lineage: Eukaryota; Metazoa; Rotifera; Eurotatoria; Adinetida; Adinetidae.
GCUUACGGCCAUACCACGUUGAAUACACCAGUUCUCGUCCGAUCACUGAAGUUAAGCAACGUCGGGGCUCGGUUAGUACUUGGAUGGGUGACCGCCUGGGAAUACCGAGUGUCGUAAGCU